RNAcentral lists this small nuclear RNA (18 nucleotides) under Arabidopsis thaliana (thale cress). RNAcentral's name for it is "snRNA_16185". The record is from RNAcentral. Lineage: Eukaryota; Viridiplantae; Streptophyta; Magnoliopsida; Brassicales; Brassicaceae.
CGCGCUAACCUAGAACCC